UAAACCAUUAGACGAGAAAACAAUUCAGGUAGAAAAAUGCAAAUUCCGCUGAAAUUGGUUUAUUCUCCAACUCAAAACUUUCAAUCACACAACAGUAAAUUCAAUUAUGCUUUCAUCGUCCUUGUCCAAGUCUAAGAAAAUUUUAUUUAGGCCACCAUGAUAUGCCGUGCCUCAAACGAUCGUUCAAAGGCCGAAAUCAGAGUGCCUCAUACAGCCAAUUCUUGUUGUUUACAUUUCUUUCUUGCGAACUUUGGACUCUGUCUUGUUACAAAUAAAAUUUAUGCAGCUCAACUGAGGCAAGUUUUGCUGUCAAUAAUAAUAUCAUUGGUAUUGCCAAAGCAAGCAGAAAAUCCGCAUUCACAUCGCCUCGCCAUAAUACUUGAACUGGCCUCCUUGCUAGAGUCUCAUAGCAGAACGAGAAUGCACAGGGCAAUUCUUGCAGUCCUGCUCUCAGAAAUAGCAGGACCAAAGGUUUUCAAAACAAUGCUCUUUGACCUACGUAGGUGAACCCUCGACCAAUCAAAUCACAACUGCUUACGAAAUGUUAUGAUGGUAAUUUCGACGAGGUCCUGCUCCCGAGAUUGAGCAGGACUGCUCUUUGUUCUAGACUAUUGUGAAGCAGGACUAAAUUCACAAAAGCCCAUUGUGAAGCAGGACCAAACAUAGGGUAUCAUAGUUAUGAGCAGGACCAAAAUACAGGGCUGCCGUAGAAGAGAACAGGACCUUGAGAUUAGCACGGGAUGCCUGUAUCAGCUGGCGGAACUGGGGACUGUUUAUCAAAAAGAAUUUGAAACUUAUUGUUUACAGUAAAUCUUAUCUUUGGAAAUUCUUGGUCCUGCUCAGCAGGACCAGCAGGACCUUUGGCUUCGCCACUGCAAAGAGGUGGCGGUUAACGAUCUCCUCGACAAAGCCGAUUGAUUGACAAUGAAGUUGAUUGACAGUUGUCAUGGCAGCAGAAAAGUGACAAAAUCUGCUGAAAAAGUGCUGACAACAUGAACUGAAGCUUCCAUAUGCUACUUAUACGCGGGGCAGACUAUAAGCCCUUCACUCGCGCGCUAUCGCGCGCGAGUUGCGGGCAAAAACAAAAAGAUGGACUCCCAAUCGAUUUCUUUUCAAAACACUGAUAAAACAGGGCGUUCACAAUUAUUAAAGAUUAGGGGGUUUAAACAAGCAAAAUAUCAUCAUGCAACGUCCUUAGGCCAUUAGAAAUAUAUGUUGAAUUAUUGUACAAUCUUUCACAGGAUCCUACAAACAAAUCCUGAAGAGUCGAGAAAUAUUAAGACCCCACGUCACCUAAAUAUAUAGAAAAACUGAAGGUCGCAUUAAAGGCACUGGUCAUAGAUUUUGGUCAUAAAUUUUGGGAUUUAUUUUUAGCAUAUUCUUAAAUUUUGGGAUAUCAUUUUUAAAAUAAAGGGGGUUUUAUUUACUUGAUUGAGUUGUUGGAUUUUUGCAAAUUUGAAUUAAAUUUAAAGGUGUAUAUUUCAUAUUGUAUCGAAAUUUGUGGGUAGGUUUUUAAAAAUUUAUGAAAUUUAAGGUAUGUUUUCAUAUUAUAAAAUGGCACACCCCCGUCCUCCGCCUAUUGAAAUUCCCUGUGGUGUGAAGGAGAUCAUCAUUGGCGGGUAAUUUGAAUGAAUUUUGGCGGGAAUGGCUCGUGGAAAUGGCUCGUGGAAAUGGCUGCACAGGAUACCUUUGUUUCACAAUCUGCUGGGAAUCUAGUCUAAAUUUGCAUAUGCUUAUAAAUACCUGGUUUCUUUGCUAUUCAAUUAGUUGGCACAAAAGAGUCGAAGAUAAGGGACACUCGUGUCUUCAUCUUGGCCUACAACGGCAUGUAAACCUAGGAUAAUGGAGUGAACACAGACAAACGACAAGUUAAAAGUGAUUCGUUGAACCGACGCCAAUCAUAGCUCUUGGCGGGGAACAGAUUCCUGCCUUCUCAAAACUUGAUUAUUUCUCGUUUAAAUUUUCCCAGAUGACUCUUCGGUGUCAGUUAAAGGUUAAAGAAAAGCUAACUGGCACUCAAUGUUACCAUUGGCAACAAAUCUGCAAGUUCAACAUGUCAAGUGUGGUAAAUUCUUGUGAGCUAGAGAUCAGCAAGAUCAUUAUGUCAAGUUUUGAGCAAGAUGUUACUAAGGCCAGAAAUUAAGAUGUCUUGGAAUUUAAUGAACAAGGUGCCUUCAAGGGUAAACUGCUUGCUGUCAAGAAACAAUCUACUGUUUGUGAAAUACCCCCGCAAGAAGGGCAAAGAAUAACAUGCUGCUUGUCCUCAAACAAUCAACUGUUGUUUGUGAAAGUCACCAGCAAAACAUAAAAAGGGCUAGCAUUUAAGAUGUAUUGGAAUUGAAUGAAUUAGGUUCCAUUGAGAGCUGGAUGUCCCUGAGCAAUUAUCUACUGUCUGUGAAGUUCACCUGCAAGACAUGCAAAGGUAAACUGCUGGUCAUCUGGGAACAAAAAUCUGCUGGUUGUGAAAUCCACCCCAAUAAUAUUGAAAGGGCAAAUGCUGGCUGUCCAGAAACAAUUAGCUGCUGUUUGUGAAAGUCACCAGCUAAACAUACAAAGGGCAAAUGCUGGCUGUCCAGAAACAAUUAGCUGCUGUUUGUGAAAGUCACCAGCUAAACAUACAAAGAUGUUGGCGAAAAGAAGAGCAAAUGCGACGAAGAAGCAACCCAGUCAAUCAAACGAAGAUGAUGCCAAAUGUUCUCUGCAUAAUUUCACUUAAGACUUAACAGCCAAAAGGCUAAAGUCAUUUAGAAACUAGAAAUUCAUCAUCAUGAACCGUGGUCCACAUGUAGAAAAGCAAAGAAUCGUUAACCCGACGGAAACCUUCCAAAUCGCUAGCCAGUUUCAAAAACAUGCCCAGAGAAGGCUUUAAGAUUUGAAAAAAAGAGCAGAAAUUUGAAGAAGCAGAAAGACACUUUGGUUCCACUGCCGUUUUGCAAAGAAAAAGGAGCAGCAAAAGCGAAACACCACUACAUCCAGACCACUAAGCGAUUUUCCAGACCACUGCCGUUUUGCAAAGAAAAAGGAGCAGCAAAAGCGAAACACCACUACUUCAAGACUACUAAGUGAUUUUCCAGACCACUGCCGUUUUGCAAAGAAAAAGGAGCAGCAAAAGCGAAACACCACUACUUCAAGACCACUAAGCGAUUUUUCCAGACCACUAUAUCCAGACCAGCCAGACCAAUACAUCCAGAGCAGGAACAAGAACCACGAACAGCAUUUCAGGCACAUGUAAUUUGCGUAAAGUUGGAUAUCUCAUAUAAUAUCUCACUAAGAUAGGGACACGUCAUAUUAUACUUAGAUUAUAUCAGGUUCUUAUGAAGAGUUGUUCACUGAGCCCAAUUAUAUAUUUUAUUGCUAUUAUCAAUAAAUUGUUUUGACUCAACACGCAAA
Molecule: non-coding RNA, 3390 nt
Organism: Rhopilema esculentum
Lineage: Eukaryota; Metazoa; Cnidaria; Scyphozoa; Rhizostomeae; Rhizostomatidae
Source: RefSeq, a predicted model, not a curated record